This 484-nucleotide ribosomal RNA is filed under the name Acinetobacter baumannii. RNAcentral's name for it is "bacterial SSU rRNA". It matches the Rfam family "Bacterial small subunit ribosomal RNA", at positions 30 to 525 of the family's 1533-position model. The record is from RNAcentral. Lineage: Bacteria; Pseudomonadati; Pseudomonadota; Gammaproteobacteria; Moraxellales; Moraxellaceae.
AUUGAACGCUGGCGGCAGGCUUAACACAUGCAAGUCGAGCGGGGGAAGGUACGCUUGCUCCUGCGAGCCUAGCGGCGGACGGGUGAUGUACUGCUUAGGAAUCUGCCUAUUAGUGGGGGAUAACAUCUCGAAGGGAUGCUNAUACCGCAUACGUCCUUACGGGGAGAAAGCAGGGGAUCUUCGGACCUUGCGCUAUUAGAUGAGCCUAGGUCGGUUAGCUAGUUGUGGGGUAAAGGCCUACCAGGCACAAUCUGUAGCUGGUCUGAGAGGAUGAUCCGCCACACUGGGACUGAGACACGGCCCAUACUCCUACGGGAGGCAGCAGUGGGGAAUAUUGGACAAUGGGGGAAACCCUGAUCCAGCCAUGCCGCGUGUGUAAGAAGGCCUUAUGGUUUAAAGCACUUUAAGCGAGGAGGAGGUACUUAGUUAAUACCUAGGGAUAGUGGCGUUCCCAAAAAGGCCCGGGUACUCUUCCACACGGGGG